CAAAUUAUCCACUCCGAUUUUUUCCAGAAUUUUACAAUACAAACAUAUAAUAGGUGACUUUUAACUUACCGAAAAAUUAUGCCGUAGUCUUCACGAUAACACACCAAGCGCCCACAGUGUAAAAACAGUCAAUAGAAGUCAUCAAAACAUCACGCCGUUUUCCCUAAUAUUGUGCACAUUUCAACAUAUUCUUGAUUUAAAGAUACAUUAAUAAUUCAAGCACGUUAGGUGAAAGAACAGCCCGAAAAUAAGUAAAACACACACCAAAUCAUUGUGGGAGAAUGGGUUCAGGGUGAAGUGAACCAAUUAUAUACAUUAUACUCUCAAACUCUGGUCAACCCAAAGACUCAUUAAGCCUUAUGUUUUCAUCCCGCAGGCGUAUAUAUAAGACCUGCUAGGAGAGACUGAAUGCUCCAUAGGAGCUCUGCCCGAAGGGUAGCGACCCCCUCUGACAUAGACCUGAACCAAGGGGUGAUAAUCCCCUUGGACAGUACCUACGAUUCGACUGAUUAUAUUUACAUAAAUAACCUGAGUCUAUGGGCCUGAAGUUGACCAUUGGGAACACUUCAACCCCACAAAUACACAGCAUGUGUAUUCCCCAUAGACGAACUCCCACCACAGCUGUAUUCGUAUACAAGACAGCUGCUGCCAGAUGAUAGUUAGACAUAUAUUUGGGCGUUACCAUCACUCAUACUAUAGCUGGAUAGUCAGGGAGGCCAGAAAAAACCUGGAAUAUACAGGAAACCUGGAUGGGGCCAAGACAACCAGCAGCUUCCCCACAAAGCUUCUAUCUUACAAUUUUUUAAUUGGAGGGUUGGUAACACGACAAACAAAGCUCACUAUCGAGGCACAUUUUAUUUAUUUUUAUUUAAUUUUUUAUUUAUUUUUUUUUUUUUUUAAGUUAAAUUAAUGUGUUCAUAAAUACGUUUUGCACAACAUUUAUUUGUUAACCGCACUUAUUUUAUUUCAAUUACUGUAUGAUCAGUGGAACUUUCUCGAAUUAUGUGACAUUACUCUCACAAAAAUAGCUUAUUCAUUACUUUAAUUCAAAAUAGCAAGACCAAAAUUUUGCGAUCGAACAUCCGAUCAUGCAUGCAUGAUAUUAGCAGAAAGAAAUUGUAAGAAUAUGUAUGUGGUAGUCAAAAUAGUUUAUAGGCAGUAAAUAAUAGUACAUCAAAGGAUUUUCAAUUUUCAAAAGCGUAGGCAUACAUGGUAUCGUACCAAUCUUUCCUGAUAUCCAUCUUGCCGAUUUAUCGCAAAUGUGCAAAAACAUAUAUCAUGUGCAGAGUUUUAAGUCUCAAAUUUCGUUCACAAAUGAGCUUGCUUUCUUAAGUUUUGAACAGUAAAGUAUUGAAAAU
This is a non-coding RNA of Paramuricea clavata, 1358 nucleotides long. The record is from the annotation of a GenBank genome assembly. NCBI's taxonomy places the organism in Eukaryota, Metazoa, Cnidaria, Anthozoa, Malacalcyonacea, Plexauridae.